GUGCUCACUUUGGCAGCACAUAUACUGAAA
Molecule: small nuclear RNA, 30 nt
Filed under: Cervus elaphus hippelaphus
Lineage: Eukaryota; Metazoa; Chordata; Mammalia; Artiodactyla; Cervidae
Source: RNAcentral